This 104-nucleotide long non-coding RNA is filed under the name Mustela putorius furo (domestic ferret). Its description in RNAcentral is "lncRNA (ENSMPUG00000027679.1)". Lineage: Eukaryota; Metazoa; Chordata; Mammalia; Carnivora; Mustelidae. The record is from RNAcentral.
UGGAACACUGGAUGGUAAAACCCCCAAAGGAAAGAAGGAUUCUUGGUUCUCUAGAGGAGAAGAGGAGGAUUUGUGAAACUAGACGGGCAAUUACAGGAUUUUUC